AUGCAUAUAAUAAUAAGACGUCAUCCAUUAUAAUAAAGAAAGCAGUUGGAGUGCAGACAGGCAGUUAAGAGUCUUGAGUAUAGGGAUUACAGUUAUCCAAAUUGAGUAGGAAUUUAAAACUUGAAGCACAAAAGUAUUUCAGAAUAACAUAAGAAGGAAUUGUUUGUAGAUAACAUAAGAGGGUCAUGAAAUCUCCUAGCAGAACUAAGCAGCUGCAUCGCUGUUCUCCUCCAAGACUGCCUCCAGAGUAACAUCCUCGCCAUCUGCUCCCAUCCAAAAUGGAUGAUCAUNGCAAGANAAAACACGCAGACAUAGCACAACACAACCAAAUGCAAGGGUGAGCUAACUAUAUAAAGACAUGCAAUUAUAUUCACAUAUACAUAUCAAAAUUAAUCUCAAGUCAAAAGUAGGCAAACCAGACAAUACAUGACAUAGAUCCUAACAUAUUAUCUUCUAGACUUGACUCGUCCGGACUUUAGAAUGAUAGUCGAGCUAUGGCGGGUCAUGCACCCGUGGUGGCUUGUGAUACUUAGGCUCCCCCGCCCUGGGCUCCCCCGCCCUGCCACUCACGAGGUUAGUCUGUUCCGCGCCUUGGAGCAUGAUGGAAGCCUCCAAGACUAAGACCUCCUGCUACUCCUCACCACAUGGUUCAACCUCUCUAAGUGAGUUUGAUUGACCAUUGGAGCGUCAAGAAAACCCCCAAGACUGAGCUCCUACUUUCAUUCUAAAACACUAAGAAUCUCACCAAGAGAUUCUACACAGAUGAAACUUGAUUUACCACUUGGAUAGUACUUUCACCACUUUGUAAUCAUAUACUUUUUACCAUAAUCAACAUAUACAUAAUACACCAAUCACAAGUUACUAUUUCACAUAAUCUUUAAUCUUAACAUCAACACCUAAUAAAUCUUUCUAAAUUUUUACUCCUUCCAAUUCAAAAUGAAACCUAGUUUAACAAAAUCAAGGAACUUCACUGCUGCACCUAUUAUUUUCUUCUACAACCUUUCCAUGUUUCUGAACCCAAUUAAAAUCUAUUAACCAUUUGCCCUUUUCCAUUAAAUUUCCAACUUUCUUCUAUUUUUAUAUAAAAGAAUACCAAAAGAAAUCACGUCAACAAUUUAUUAAAAGCACACCAUACUUCCUACAAGGUAUUUAUUACCUCAUGAUAAAAAUUACUUAAUAACAUUAUUAUAUUUUACAUGCCACCUAUUAUAAUAAUAUUUUACAAGCAUUAACUACAUGAUAAUAAAAAUAUUAUUAUUUGAUAACAUUAGUAUAUCUUUUAAGAUACCCAAGAACAUGUAUUGGACUUUGUUUUGCAUAAAGAAAGACUAAAUAAAAGUUACGUAAACCUAUUAAAACAAAAGACAAAACCAAUCUUUAUUCAUUCUAAAUUAACAACACAACUACUGAUUCAUUGUUUUCUCUCAAAGUUUCACAAAGACUUUUAAAUCAUUUUAUAAUUUCUUUUCUUUUAACUAACAUGGGACCAUUCUCACCUACCAUUUUCUCUCACUUUUUUUUUUCUUAAAUUUUCACCUAAAGUAACACAUCCCAUUUCUUCUACUUCUUUCUUUUUCUCAUACUUUUCUCUGUACAUUCUUUAUUCUCUGGUUCUAUUUUUCUCCAAUUUUAUUCUUUAAUUUUUUACUUCUCUCUUCCUUUCUCAAAAUUUCCCUUUUUGACUCUUUCACUAACCAAACUUCUCCUUCUAUCUCCAGCCCACGUUUUCUUCUUUUUUUUUUUUCUUUUAAUUUUCCAUUCACACACCAUCCAAUACCCACCGCUCACACAUACACUCUUCUCUCCUUAUCAAGUUUUUAUCAACUACUAACACCAUUGGUUUCUCCUCUCCUACUUCAUUUUUUUUUUAAUCCAAAAGAAAAACAUCCUAAUGUAUGUCUUUAGUUUCCUGUAUGGUUCUCCCUCCCUUGUCUUACCCAUAUACUUCAAACUUCAAGCAUUCUAUUUUAUAAACAAAUCAUGUAACUCUUCAUAACUUUUACCAUAAAAUAAACCCCUCUCCUUUACAUAACCCCUACAACUCACAUGCAAUUUCUCUAUUUCUCCACUUACAUACCACAUACAACUUGUGCUUCUUCUUUCCUUGUGCUCUCCUUCAUCAUUAACCCACCUCUAUGCAAAAACACUCCACCACUUACUCAUCCUACUUUUACAUGCCAGUAUCCUACCUUUUCAUAUCUUCCUCUUUUCAAUUAAAUAUACGUUCAAAGCCCAUCCCCAAAUUCUUCACUCUGCUGCACUUUAUUUUCUAACACCAAAAUAGCUCAUUUUAACAUGUUCAAUUUAAAUACUUUGGCACAAACCACUUAAGCACAAAAACACACGUUCAAGUUGAACAACAUAAUAUUUUAUAAAUUACAUACAUACAUACCAAACAAUGAUUUAAAACAUAUAAUCAACUCCCCUCACCUUUUGGUUCUCACAGCAUAGUUCCUAAAAGCGUCCUAACAGUACCUCUGCACAGAGGUAAUUCCGAUAGUACCUACAAGCCACCAAAUUGGUGUAGAGCAUAGUCUUUAGGACUUGAUAGGAUAAGGAAAAUAAAAAUAACUCUACUUGCAAGGUAGAACCUUUGCAUGAGUAAAACCCUAGGGUGCGCAGAAUGGGAAAUUACCUUAUCAGUGGAGAGACGCGAAACUAAUCAGAUGGAUUGGAAGCUCUCGACUCCGGGAACGUAGGGGGACCACCUAUUUGAAAUAACAACGGUGGAAAUUUGAGAAAUUGGUACAGAGAAGGUGGAGCAAGGUUAGAGANAAGUNAGAGAAAAUAAGAAAUNUGAGUUCUAGAGAGAGAAGGGAAAUGAGGAAAUGAAAAUCUGAAUUGGGGAAAG
Molecule: long non-coding RNA, 2851 nt
Filed under: Vigna radiata
Lineage: Eukaryota; Viridiplantae; Streptophyta; Magnoliopsida; Fabales; Fabaceae
Description: long non-coding RNA (VRAD_LNC000589)
Source: RNAcentral